This 211-nucleotide long non-coding RNA is filed under the name Vitis vinifera (wine grape). RNAcentral's name for it is "long non-coding RNA (VVIN_LNC005082)". Lineage: Eukaryota; Viridiplantae; Streptophyta; Magnoliopsida; Vitales; Vitaceae. The record is from RNAcentral.
UCCUAGCCUGUUCAAUCCCAAAUUUCAUCAUCACUUGUUCUGCUCUCUCUUUUAGAUCUAAAGUCCUGUCUUCUGGGAGGAUAUGCUUGAGUUGCAAUAAACUACCACCACAUCCAUCCGUUCCUUUUAGGGCACAGAUAAUGCUUCCAUCCUUAGUGGCAUUCCAAUCAGUCAGUGACUCAGCAUCAUGCCUAAACGUUCCCAUAUAAUA